This is a small nuclear RNA of Lemur catta (Ring-tailed lemur), 164 nucleotides long. RefSeq annotates it as U1 spliceosomal RNA. The record is from RefSeq and is a predicted model, not a curated record. NCBI's taxonomy places the organism in Eukaryota, Metazoa, Chordata, Mammalia, Primates, Lemuridae. The transcript has a single exon.
AUACUUACCUGCCAGGCGAGACGCCAUGAUCACAAAGGUGGUUUUUCCAGGGCAAGGCUCAUCCAUUGCACUCUGGAUGUGCUGACCUCUGUGAUUUCCCCAAAUGUUGGAAACUCAACUGCACAAUUUGGGGCAAUGGAGGACUGCAUUUGGGCUCUCCCCUA